Molecule: small nuclear RNA, 107 nt
Filed under: Meriones unguiculatus (Mongolian gerbil)
Lineage: Eukaryota; Metazoa; Chordata; Mammalia; Rodentia; Muridae
Source: RNAcentral
GUGCUCCCACUGGCUCACAUGUACUGAGGUUGGAGCAAUACACAGAUUAGCAUGGCCCCUGUGCAAGAAUGACUGAUGUGCAAAUCCAUGAACUGUUCCUUUUUUUU